GACGAACGCUGGCGGCGUGCUUAACACAUGCAAGUCGAACGGAGCUAUUUAUUUCGGUAGAUAGCUUAGUGGCAAACGGGUGAGUAACGCGUAGGCAACCUACCCUCGGGAUGGGGACAACGGCUCGAAAGAGCCGCUAAUACCGAAUGACGUAACUUUCCCACAUGGGAGAGAUACUAAAGAUGGGUCAAACCAUCGCCCGAGGAUGGGCCUGCGUCUGAUUAGCCAGUUGGUGAGGUAACGGCUCACCAAAGCAACGAUCAGUAGCCGGUCUGAGAGGAUGAACGGCCACAAUGGGACUGAGACACGGCCCAUACUCCUACGGGAGGCAGCAGUGGGGAAUCUUCCGCAAUGGGCGAAAGCCUGACGGAGCAACGCCGCGUGAGUGAAGAAGGUCUUCGGAUCGUAAAGCUCUGUUGUCGGGGACGAAAGGAAAGGGGAGGCAAU
This 447-nucleotide ribosomal RNA is filed under the name Veillonellaceae bacterium oral taxon 145. RNAcentral describes it as "bacterial SSU rRNA". It matches the Rfam family "Bacterial small subunit ribosomal RNA", at positions 28 to 465 of the family's 1533-position model. Lineage: Bacteria; Bacillati; Bacillota; Negativicutes; Veillonellales; Veillonellaceae. The record is from RNAcentral.